AGGGGGUUAGAAUUCCACGUGUAGCAGUGAAAUGGGUAGAGAUGUGGAGGAACACCGAUGGCGAAGGCAGCCCCCUGGGUCAAGACUGACGUUCAUGCACGAAAGCGUGGGGAGCAAACAGGAUUAGAUACCCUGGUAGUCCACGCCCUAAACGAUGUCUACUAGUUGUCGGGUUUUAAUUAACUUGGUAACGCAGCUAACGCGUGAAGUAGACCGCCUGGGGAGUACGGUCGCAAGAUUAAAACUCAAAGGAAUUGACGGGGACCCGCACAAGCGGUGGAUGAUGUGGAUUAAUUCGAUGCAACGCGAAAAACCUUACCUACCCUUGACAUGUCAGGAACCUUCGAGAGAUGGGGAGGUGGGCCACGAAAGGGAGCCUGAACACAGGUGCGGUAGCAUGGCGGUCGUCAGCUCGUGUC
RNAcentral lists this ribosomal RNA (419 nucleotides) under Massilia sp. S4-3. RNAcentral describes it as "bacterial SSU rRNA". It matches the Rfam family "Bacterial small subunit ribosomal RNA", at positions 655 to 1066 of the family's 1533-position model. Lineage: Bacteria; Pseudomonadati; Pseudomonadota; Betaproteobacteria; Burkholderiales; Oxalobacteraceae. The record is from RNAcentral.